CUACGAGCUGCUGCAGCAAGGAAUAUUGGGCAAUGGGCGCAAGCCUGACCCAGCGACACCGCGUGGAGGAAGAAGGCCUUCGGGUUGUAAACUUCUUUUCCCGGGGAAGAAUCAUGACGGUACCUGGGGAAUAAGCCUCGGCUAACUACGUGCCAGCAGCCGCGGUAAUACGUAGGAGGCGAGCGUUAUCCGGAUUUACUGGGCGUAAAGAGGGCGUAGGCGGCUUGUCAAGUCGGAUGUGAAAUCUCCCGGCUUAACUGGGAGGGUGCAUCGGAAACUGAUGGGCUGGAGUGCAGCAGAGGGAAGUGGAAUUCCCGGUGUAGUGGUGAAAUGCGUAGAUAUCGGGAAGAACACUAGUGGCGAAGGCGGCUUCCUGGGCUGUAACUGACGCUGAGGCCCGAAGGCGUGGGGAGCAAACAGGAUUAGAUACCCCAGUAGUC
Molecule: ribosomal RNA, 440 nt
Filed under: uncultured bacterium
Lineage: Bacteria
Description: partial 16S ribosomal RNA
Rfam family: Bacterial small subunit ribosomal RNA
Source: RNAcentral